This 326-nucleotide ribosomal RNA is filed under the name uncultured archaeon. RNAcentral describes it as "bacterial SSU rRNA". It matches the Rfam family "Archaeal small subunit ribosomal RNA", at positions 691 to 1016 of the family's 1478-position model. The record is from RNAcentral.
CCGACGGUGAGGGAUGAAGCCCUGGGGCGCAAACGGGAUUAGAUACCCCGGUAGUCCAGGGUGUAAACGCUGCGGGCUUGGUGUUGGGGGUCCUUUGAGGGCGCCCAGUGCCGGAGAGAAGUUGUUAAGCCUGCUGCUUGGGGAGUACGUCCGCAAGGAUGAAACUUAAAGGAAUUGGCGGGGGAGCACCGCAACGGGAGGAGCGUGCGGUUCAAUUGGAUUCAACGCCGGACAACUCACCAGGAGCGACGGUUACAUGAAGGCCAGGCUGAUGACCUUGCCUGAUUUUCCGAGAGGUGGUGCAUGGCCGUCGUCAGUUCGUACCG